AUGUCGUGGAACGUUAGGGGCAUCAACGCUCCAGCUAAGCGCUCAGCAAUCUGUGAGGUGGCCACAACGCUCAAGACAGCAAUCCUAACGCUGCAAGAGACGAAGGUGGAAGUGUGGACGACGGGUAUAGCAAAGGAAAUCGGCGGCCCAAUGCUGCAAGGCUGUGCAGUGCUACCUGCUAUGGGCACAAGAGGGGGAGCUGCCAUUUUUUGGAACAAAGAGAUUGUUGAGGUCGAAUCACACUCCAUUGGACGGUUUACAAUCACAGCCAAAGUGAAGGAAUUGGGAACGAACAUUCAGUUC
RNAcentral lists this ribosomal RNA (303 nucleotides) under Triticum aestivum (bread wheat). RNAcentral describes it as "partial small subunit ribosomal RNA". The record is from RNAcentral. Lineage: Eukaryota; Viridiplantae; Streptophyta; Magnoliopsida; Poales; Poaceae.